ACUCCUACGGGGGCAGCAGUGGGGAAUAUUGCACAAUGGGCGCAAGCCUGAUGCAGCCAUGCCGCGUGUAUGAAGAAGGCCUUCGGGUUGUAAAGUACUUUCAGCAGUGAGGAAGGUGGGUAUGUUAAUAGCAUACUCAUUUGACGUUAGCUGCAGAAGAAGCACCGGCUAACUCCGUGCCAGCAGCCGCGGUAAUACGGAGGGUGCGAGCGUUAAUCGGAAUUACUGGGCGUAAAGCGCAUGCAGGUGGUUUGUUAAGUCAGAUGUGAAAGCCCGGGGCUCAACCUCGGAAUUGCAUUUGAAACUGGCAAACUAGAGUACUGUAGAGGGGGGUAGAAUUUCAGGUGUAGCGGUGAAAUGCGUAGAGAUCUGAAGGAAUACCGGUGGCGAAGGCGGCCCCCUGGACAGAUACUGACACUCAGAUGCGAAAGCGUGGGGAGCAAACAGGAUUAGAUACCCUGGUAGGCUCU
This 470-nucleotide ribosomal RNA is filed under the name uncultured bacterium. RNAcentral describes it as "bacterial SSU rRNA". It matches the Rfam family "Bacterial small subunit ribosomal RNA", at positions 335 to 798 of the family's 1533-position model. The record is from RNAcentral.